CGGGGGUUCUAAAAUUUGAACUAUGAAACAUUUACAAGAAACCCCCUGCGCAUCUUCAAAUUGUACAAAAAUAGACGACGACAGGCGUGCGCGGCUCGCGCAUGAAGAAUCGGCCGCCGGCGAGGCUACAGGCCAGUGGAGCUCCGGUCGCCGGCCUGAUCCCAAUCCUUAUCCCCUGCCAAAAAUGUCCUGAAGCUCCUCCGCUGCCUCCGGCCGUGGAUCAACGGAAUCGAGGCCAUCUCCUCCCACCACGACCGCCGCUGCCCCCACGAGCUCGACGCCGACGGGCGACCUCACUCCUCCCUGAGCCAGUCCGAGCUCCGCCGCGCCGAGAGCUACGCCCGCCUCGAGCCACGCUUGUCGGAAAGCAACGAAUCAACUGAAUCGCCGCCGUCCCCUCCCAAUCCGGUCGCUGCUUGCCGCCGCUGAAGCUCGUCACGGCUCCUCCGGUGAACACAAAACGUCGGCGUCGUGCUUCUGCUUCUGCUUCUGCAGCCGGUCGAGCUCGUGCUUCUGCUUCUCCCCUGCAGCCGAUGGAGCUCGAGCUGCUGCUGCUUCCCUGCCUUCGAGUUCUUCUCUGAAGAAGUUACAGGUUGUUGCUGCUGCUCCUUGCUCUGUAAUUUUCUCAAAGAAUCUGAAAUUGCUGCUGCUCCUUGCUCUGUAAAAACAUUCCCCACUGAAAGCAUUGGAAUAAAUCAUAUACUCCAUGUUCUGACCAUGUUGCCCCACGGUAAGAAGAGCAACAUUGUGCUUGAAUUGGAUUGGAGUGUUGCUGUCAGAGAGUUUUUGGUUUCAGAUUCCUUAGAUAGAUACCAAAAUCUUGCGCGGUUGCAAUUAGUGUGUUCUUGGAUUCAGAUCUGGUUCAGGUUCUAGCCUACUGCAGCAUGAAUCAAUCAAGCAAAUCCCCAUUUCUGAACCUAUGCUAAUCUUGCAAGCAGUAUAACACCAGGCAAUGUACUCCAAAUACUAUAAGAACUGGAGUAAUCACUUCAUCAUGGAAAUCCUCAUGAUGAAGUGAUUUUGGGAGGCUCAUUGGUUCUACAUAGCCCUUUCUUUUUGCACCUUUUAUUUGUGAACUGAACUUCCUUUAGCACUUGCGAAUCCUCAUAAUGUUUGUAAUGCUACAAGUGUUUAUGUAGCUGAGGAUUUUGGAGUGUACCUGUUGAUGUUAAGCUGCAAGAUUGGGCUCUACAUACCACAUAGCCCUUUGUUGCUCUUGAUUGAAGUCGUCUUCCACUGCAUCUCAUUUGCUUUGCUUCUGAAGGUGAAAAACAUGACAGACCUGCCGAGAAGCUACAUUUCUGAAAGGGCAUUUUGCCAGGCACCAAGUACCAGUGCAGAGAUGUUAAAAAAACAAAAAGUACCAGUGCAGGGUUUUGUUAGCAUUCACAGUAAAAGUAAAAAAUAAAUAAAUAAAGUAAAUGCAUGGCUAAUUUGUGUGACCAAAGAACACAUGGCUAACAGGACAAUGCUUUUCUAGAGACCAGCUGUGAGAUGCUUAUUCCAUUUAGCUGCCUUGCAUUAGUAAAGAAUAUCACUUUGUAAAAUAAAGUAAAUAUGGAAUUUGCUUUUCUGCAGGAUAUCACUUUGUAAAAUACCUUAUCAGUGUUGAUUUGCUUUUUACUUUUUUCAGGAAAGAACAAGUUACUAACACUUCUUCAGGGAAGAACAAGAAAUUAUCAUUUUUACAGGGAAAAGAAUAAAGUUACCUGAGCAAGUGCUCCACCGCCGCAAUGAUGUUUGGGAUUGAUCUCAACAUAAGUCCUCGACAAGAUAAUGCCUCAGAACCUGCAGAUCAACAGGAAGAACACAACAGUCAACAACGAUACAACAAUGAAGAACCAGUCAAUAAUGAAGCAACAGGGGAAGAAACAAGUGGUGUAGAGGAACCAAUUCAUGAAGAAGCAAGUGGUCUAGAGGAAGCAAUUCAUGAGGAAGCAAGUGAUGUACAGAAACCAAUUCAUGGGGAACUCACAAAUGAGGAGAGAUAUGGUAUUUAUUUUGCACUCAUGGUGAUCAAGACCCAAAAUGGACAAGUUCUGAAAAAAGACAAGGAGGUCAUUGCUAGCCUACUCGAUACAACCGUAAGAACUGUUGAGAGAAUAUGGGAAAGAGCUCUUAAACAGAUUGAAAAAGGGGAGAAAGUUGAUGUCUCAAAUCAAAAGCCAGGUAGAGUUGGCCGCAAGCGGAAAGAUUUGGAUCUGUCGAGGGUGGUGACAAUCCCAUUGAACAGAAGGAGAACAUUGCGAGGUCUGUCAAAGGCAUUGGGUGUAAGCUGCACGACCUUACACUCAAGGUUCGAGUGGGGUCAUUUGAGGCGUCA
Molecule: long non-coding RNA, 2323 nt
Organism: Triticum dicoccoides
Lineage: Eukaryota; Viridiplantae; Streptophyta; Magnoliopsida; Poales; Poaceae
Exons: 3
Source: RefSeq, a predicted model, not a curated record